UAAUAGUGUAUAUUAAAGUUGUUGCAGUUAAAAAGCUCGUAGUUGAAUGUUGGUGUCGAACGAGCGGUCAGCUUCGGCUGUACUGCUCUCUCGACUCCUUCCUUCUGUGGACUACGUCGCACUUUACUGUGUGGCGCUAGGACGCAGAUCGUUUACUGUGAAAAAAUUAGAGUGUUCAAAGCAGGCCGUACGCUUGAAUACAUUAGCAUGGAAUAAUGGAAUAGGACGUCGGGCCUAUUUUGUUGGUUCUAGGACCGUCGUAAUGAUUAAUAGGGACAGUUGGGGCCGUUUAUAUUCCGUAGGCAGAGGUGAAAUUCUUGGAUUUACGGAAGAUAAACUACUGCGAAAGCAUUCGGCAAGGAUGUUUUCGUUAA
This 374-nucleotide ribosomal RNA is filed under the name uncultured eukaryote. RNAcentral's name for it is "partial 18S ribosomal RNA". It matches the Rfam family "Eukaryotic small subunit ribosomal RNA", at positions 592 to 976 of the family's 1831-position model. The record is from RNAcentral.